Long non-coding RNA from Peromyscus maniculatus bairdii (prairie deer mouse), 1123 nucleotides. RefSeq lists it as uncharacterized. The record is from RefSeq and is a predicted model, not a curated record. Lineage: Eukaryota; Metazoa; Chordata; Mammalia; Rodentia; Cricetidae.
AUCAAGGUGGCAUUUCUCUGAUGUCCCCGGCUGUCCUGAAGAUGUGAAGAGCGAUGCAUUGCUCUUGGUCUCUGCUUAUAGGCUGUCAAGCGGGCAAUGUCACAGGGCCCUCGCUUGCUUCCUCGUCUCUGCACACUCUCUCCCAUAUUUCAUUUUUCUCUACAGCCGAAUGAAACUCUAGUGUGUACACGGACUAUACGUCUUACUGUCCAUUCAUCUGCUGGUGGACAUCGAGGCUAUUCCAUUUUCUUCCUGCUCUGAAAAGAGCAGCAGAGACCACAGAUGUGCAAGCGUUUCUGAGGUAAGCUAUUAUGCUGGUUGUUUUCUAUCUACCUCACAAACCUAGACAUAUCUGAGAAGAAAGAUUCUUAAUUCAAAAUAUGCCCCCGAGGAGCGGCCUGAAGGCAAAUCUGUGGAGAUACCGUACCGUCUUGGUUAAUGACUAAUGUGGAAGGGCCCAGUUCACUGUGGAUGGUGUGAGCCCCGGGCUGGUGCGCCUGGGUGCUAUAAGAAAGCAGGUCCCCUGGAGCUGGAGUUAGAGGGAACUGUGAAGCCUUCAGAUGUGGAUGCUGGAAACCAUAUCCAGAUCCUCUAAGAGCAGUUAGUGCCCUGAACUGAAGCCCCAAACUCCAGACAAGCUAUUGUAGAGAGAGACAUCUGGGAACCGAUGGACACCAAAGAGCCGUAAUUUCCCCAGAAAUCUCACACUAGGGAAUGGAAACGUGAAAGCCUGAUACCGCCAGGGGAGGAACAUGCCUCCUAAGAAGUGAGUUCACACUGUUCUGAGAACUCACGAGGCCUCCUCUUGGGACAGACUGGAGCCAUAGUGAUGGGUUGGUGAUGGUCUAGACACACCUAGAUCAGGGUUGCUGAACUGUAGGCGUCUCUUGCAUGAUUUUGAAACCAAAACCUCGUGCCAUACUCCUGAAGACUGCUUUGGAGCUGAGGGAACUUUUUUUGUUCCUCUUCCCAAUAUGGUCACAUCGAACAUUGAGGAAGCAGGCUAAAUGUGGAGUCUCUGGCUCGGUACUUCUGUGCAUUUCUGUGAUGCUGUGUGUACUGAGGUAACAGUAGGAAAUAGUGGCAGGUGUUGCCUCUAAUUUCUGUAGUUUGCUGUUCUCAA